CCACCCAUCCCAUCCAUCUCCUCUGCUCCAAAAACAAACUCUCAAGAACCACAGGAGGAGGGAGAGAGGGCGCGAGAGAGAGAUGGCCGUUUCUCUCACCACCUCUCCUUUCAAUUUCUGUACGGCGCGUGCUCACCGGAUCCGAGGAGAACAAAGGCCCUUUCUUUCUGGCUCUUCCUGCUGUGCUUGGAGGGUUUAUUUGGUUUUUUUCCUCUUCGGUUUUCUGGUUUGCAUCUUUUGCUUGGAUUUUAAAGGUAUUAAAGCUGAUUUGUGGGAAGUCAUAGAGUAAGACAGGCGCUUCUAGGUGCGGAGAGGCUCUUGGGAGAUUGACAGAAGAGAGUGAGCACACGGCGUGAUGAACAACAUAACAUGUAUGUUGUUCUCACCGCGUGCUCACUCCUCUUACUGUCAUUCUCUCUUUUUGAAGGGCUUUAACUCCCAUCAAGAUCUAUUAGUGCGGGUGUAAAACCGUUUAUUAUUUGAUUUUGUUCCACUCAUUUCAAUUCAUAUGUUUUUGUAUAGUUUUUUCCUUAAAAAAAGUUCGUACUUUAUUUGUAAGGAGAAACUUAACCACUUAAAUUUAGCAAGCAUACCUCUGGUACUAUGACUUUCCUCCUACUUUAUCCUACCACUUUCUUAUCUCCUAGAUCUUCACACACACUUAUUUUUCUUCCUAUUGUUCUAGUCUUUUCAAUCAAGUUGUCAUGGGAAUCGCUAUCCAGGAGCCCACAUGUUUUUCUUAUCCCCAAGUUUUCCGUUUCUUUGGCCUCUUGCAGAUUUGCAGUAGUACCGUCGCCUUGGGACCUGAAGCAUGGGGAUGCUGCCAGUACACUGCAACACUGUGAGGAUUUUAUCAACGGCUGCGUCCUCUCUCUCUCUGCCUUCAUGGAUGGGUUCCUGUUGUUGCAAGUGGUUGGUAUUUGUUGGGGUUGAUCAAGUUCUUGUUGGGUCAAAAAUGGAUCAUGGAGGAGGCUAGGAGAUGAGCUAUAUUUGGCAUGGAAGGAGGAAGGUGCCCUCUCUGUCUCUGCCAGAUCUAGCUUGCAUGUAUAGAACAAGAGCGUCAUGAUAAGCUAGGAAAUGCACUGUGAAGGCGUUAUUAAUCUCCAGAUAACCAAGGUCAAGUCAAAGCCGACGUCUUCUUCUCAUGACUCAUUCAAAUGGAUGGAGAUGGAUUCUUGACAGACAUUCUUCUCAAUCAAGAUCAUGGUGGUUUUGCUGGUGGUAUGGAGGACAACCUCAACAUUCCGAUCACACAAGGUAUUACUUCCGAAGGUCAACAAGCCCAUGUGGAAGUGCAGCCAAGUCGCAACACAAAGGGAUCCAAGAGGACAAAAAAAAUUUGAUUGGAAGGAAGACGAAGUUGUAUGCUCUGGUUGGUUGAACGUAAGCAAAGAUCCCAUUAACGGUGCCAAUCAAUCUCGUUCCACAUUUUGGAGUAGAGUUCAUGCUUUCUUUGAGGAACACAAGCAAACUGCAGCUGUGAGGACAUAGAGUUCCAUUAUGCAUAGGUGGCUGACAAUUCAGUCACAAGUGAACAAGUAUUGUUGUUGCUAUGAUAAGAUUGAGCGUAGGAAUCAAAGUGGAAAAACUAUCCAAGACAAGAUUUCAGAAGCAUCCAAGUUGUACCAGGAAUUAGACAAUGACAAUAAGUCAUUCACUCUUAUACAUUGUUGGAAUAUAUUGAAGGAGGAGGACAAGUGGAAAACCAAGAGGAUUGAACUUGCUGAGCUGGAAAAACUAUCAAACAAGAAAAAGCAGAAGUCCAGACCAAGGGAUACAGAAGGCACCAACAAUGAUGAAGAUGCAGCAAAGGAAGUUGCUCUAGAAACCGAAGCAAGCAAAAGGCCACCGGGGGUAAAGAAGGAAAAAGAAGCACUUAGGCGAGGCGGUGGUGGUGACGCUUUCAUGGAAGCUUUGGACAAGAUGUGGUCCAAGAAAGAGGCUUUCGACAAAGAAAAGGAAAAGACAAAAGAGGAGAGGUUCCUGGUUGCACUAGAGAUAGAGAAGAAGCGAGUGUCAAUUAUGAAAAAAAAGCUGAAGCAGAAUUGAUUAAAGAGGAGAAAGAAAUAAUGUCAAUCGACAUGACUUGCCUCACCCCGCUAUAGCGUCAAUACUACGAGACGAUGCAACAGAAAAUUGUCGCUAGGCGUUUGGCAAAUUAAAUUUAGUUCUAGUCAUGAAAGCUUUAGUUUGUUUUUUUAUUGAGCACAACUUUUAUCAAAGUUCAUGUAUCCGUUUACUGAACCUUAGCUUCUGUUCGUGAUUGUCAAAUAUGUUCUGGUACUGUUGUGACUAAAUGAUAUUGCUGCUGCUGCUCGUCAUGAUUAUGCAA
Molecule: long non-coding RNA, 2332 nt
Organism: Panicum virgatum (switchgrass)
Lineage: Eukaryota; Viridiplantae; Streptophyta; Magnoliopsida; Poales; Poaceae
Exons: 5
Source: RefSeq, a predicted model, not a curated record